This is a long non-coding RNA of Limulus polyphemus (Atlantic horseshoe crab), 588 nucleotides long. RefSeq lists it as uncharacterized. The record is from RefSeq and is a predicted model, not a curated record. The transcript has 3 exons. Lineage: Eukaryota; Metazoa; Arthropoda; Merostomata; Xiphosura; Limulidae.
UUAAAAUGUACUCUGAUAAUCAUAGCAGCAGACAGGUACAACAGAGUCACUGUUAAAAUGUACUCUGAUAAUCAUAGCAGCAGACAGGUACAACAGAGUCACUGUAAAAAUGUGCUCUAAUAAUCAUAGCAGCAGACAGGUACCAUGGAGUCACUGUUAAGAUGUACUCUGAUAAUCAUAGCAGCAGACGGGUACCAUGGAGUCACUGUUAGAAUGUACUCUGAUAAUCAUAGCAGCAGACAGGUACAACAGUCACUGUUAAAAUGUACUCUGAUAAUCAUAGCAGCAAACAGGUACCAUGAAGUCACUGUUAAAAUGUACUCUGAUAAUCAUAGCAGCAGACAGGUACAACAGAGUCACUGUUAAAAUGUACUCUGAUAAUCAUAGCAGCAAACAGGUACAACAGAGUCACUGUUAAAAUAUACUCUAAUAAUCAUAGCAGCAAACAGGUACAACAGAGUCACUGUUAGAAUGUACUCUGAUAAUCAUAGCAGCAGACAGGUACCAUGGAGUCACUGUUAGAAUGUACUCUGAUAAUCAUAGCAGCAGACAGGUACCAUGGAGUCACUGUCAAAAUGUACUCUGAUA